AAAUGCGAUAAGUAAUGUGAAUUGCAGAAUUCAGUGAAUCAUCGAAUCUUUGAACGCACAUUGCGCCCGCCAGUAUUCUGGCGGGCAUGCCUGUCCGAGCGUCAUUUCAACCAUCAAGCCCCCGGGCUUGUGUUGGGGACCUGCGGCUGCCCGCAGGCCCUGAAAACCAGUGGCGGGCUCGCUGUCACACCGAGUGUAGUAGCAAUCACCUCGCUCAGGGCGUGCUGCGGGUUCCGGCCGUUAAACAGCCUUACAAAACCCAAGGUUGACCUCGGAUCAGGUAGGAAGACCCGCUGAACUUAAGC
This 305-nucleotide unclassified non-coding RNA is filed under the name plant metagenome. Its description in RNAcentral is "partial contains 5.8S ribosomal RNA, internal transcribed spacer 2, and large subunit ribosomal RNA". The stretch from base 1 to 104 matches the Rfam family "5.8S ribosomal RNA", at positions 51 to 154 of the family's 154-position model. The record is from RNAcentral.